This 127-nucleotide small RNA is filed under the name Marmota monax (woodchuck). The record is from RNAcentral. Lineage: Eukaryota; Metazoa; Chordata; Mammalia; Rodentia; Sciuridae.
GCUGGGUGCGGUGGCGCAUGCCUGGAAUCCCAGCGGCUCAGGAGGCUGAGGCAGGGGGAUUGUGAGUCCAAAAUCAGCCUCAGCAAUUUAUCGAGGCACUAAGCAACUCAGCGAGACUCUGACUCUA